RNAcentral lists this ribosomal RNA (644 nucleotides) under Streptomyces sp. 3212_3. RNAcentral describes it as "bacterial SSU rRNA". It matches the Rfam family "Bacterial small subunit ribosomal RNA", at positions 100 to 758 of the family's 1533-position model. Lineage: Bacteria; Bacillati; Actinomycetota; Actinomycetes; Kitasatosporales; Streptomycetaceae. The record is from RNAcentral.
GAACGGGUGAGUAACACGUGGGCAAUCUGCCCUGCACUCUGGGACAAGCCCUGGAAACGGGGUCUAAUACCGGAUACGAGCCUCCCGGGCAUCUGGGAGGUUGGAAAGCUCCGGCGGUGCAGGAUGAGCCCGCGGCCUAUCAGCUUGUUGGUGAGGUAACGGCUCACCAAGGCGACGACGGGUAGCCGGCCUGAGAGGGCGACCGGCCACACUGGGACUGAGACACGGCCCAGACUCCUACGGGAGGCAGCAGUGGGGAAUAUUGCACAAUGGGCGAAAGCCUGAUGCAGCGACGCCGCGUGAGGGAUGACGGCCUUCGGGUUGUAAACCUCUUUCAGCAGGGAAGAAGCGAGAGUGACGGUACCUGCAGAAGAAGCGCCGGCUAACUACGUGCCAGCAGCCGCGGUAAUACGUAGGGCGCAAGCGUUGUCCGGAAUUAUUGGGCGUAAAGAGCUCGUAGGCGGCUUGUCGCGUCGAUUGUGAAAGCCCGGGGCUUAACUCCGGGUCUGCAGUCGAUACGGGCAGGCUAGAGUGUGGUANGGGAGAUCGGAAUUCCUGGUGUAGCGGUGAAAUGCGCAGAUAUCANGAGGAACACCGGUGGCGAAGGCGGAUCUCUGGGCCAUUACUGACGCUGANGAGCGAAA